CAUCGAGUUUUCGAACGCAAGUUGCGCCCGAAGCCUUUGGCUGAGGGAACGUCUGCCUGGGCGUCACGC
RNAcentral lists this ribosomal RNA (69 nucleotides) under Silene flos-cuculi (ragged-robin). Its description in RNAcentral is "partial 5.8S ribosomal RNA". Lineage: Eukaryota; Viridiplantae; Streptophyta; Magnoliopsida; Caryophyllales; Caryophyllaceae. The record is from RNAcentral.